RNAcentral lists this microRNA (22 nucleotides) under Triticum aestivum (bread wheat). Its description in RNAcentral is "tae-miR9666b-3p". Lineage: Eukaryota; Viridiplantae; Streptophyta; Magnoliopsida; Poales; Poaceae. The record is from miRBase by way of RNAcentral.
CGGUUGGGCUGUAUGAUGGCGA